UGAGACAGUUCGGUCCCUAUCUGCCGUAGGUGUAGGAGAAUUGAGAGGAUCUGACUCUAGUACGAGAGGACCGAGUUGGACGCAUCUCUGGUGGACCUGUUGUCGCGCCAGCGGCAUAGCAGGGUAGCUAUAUGCGGACGGGAUAACCGCUGAAGGCAUCUAAGCGGGAAACCCACCUCAAAACGAGUUCUCCCUCGAGAGCCGUGGAAGACCACCACGUUGAUAGGCCGGGUGUGGAAGCGCUGCAAAGCGUGGAGCUUACCGGUACUAAUAGCUCGAUCGGCUUGAACGCUCUCAUU
Molecule: ribosomal RNA, 299 nt
Filed under: Hyphomicrobium sp.
Lineage: Bacteria; Pseudomonadati; Pseudomonadota; Alphaproteobacteria; Hyphomicrobiales; Hyphomicrobiaceae
Description: partial 23S ribosomal RNA
Rfam family: Bacterial large subunit ribosomal RNA
Source: RNAcentral